Molecule: ribosomal RNA, 301 nt
Filed under: uncultured bacterium
Lineage: Bacteria
Description: partial 16S ribosomal RNA
Rfam family: Bacterial small subunit ribosomal RNA
Source: RNAcentral
AGUCGCCGCGGGAAAACGUAGGGGGCAAGCGUUAUCCGGAAUUACUGGGUGUAAAGGGAGCGUAGACGGUUAAACAAGUCUGAAGUGGAAUGCCGGGGCUCAACCCCGGAGCUGCUUUGGGAACUGUAGAACUGGAGUGUCGGAGGGGUAAGCGGAAUUCCCAGUGUAGCGGUGAAAUGCGUAGAUAUUGUGAGGAACACCAACGGCGAAAGCACUCUGCUGGGCCGACACUGACACUGAGAGACGAAAGCUAGGGGAGCAAAUGGGAUUAGAUACCCCUGUAGUCCCUGUCUCUUAUACA